CAAAUUGGGGCUUUUGCUCAUGAGGGUUUUUAAGUGCAAUUGACCCUCUAAAAACCUAAUUGGGGGUAUUCCCGACGCGUUGGUGCGCUCGGAAUAGCAUUUCGAAAAGUGUAUGUAAAGUUAUGGGCAAAAUGGCCUAAUGAGGGUUCGUUUUGCCGCAGGUAAAGAACGAAGCGUCUAAAAAUCCCAAGAAAAUCAUCGGAGCACCUUUGAAAGCCUACGAGGUGGGUGGUGCUUUCCAAACUCAUUGAAAUUCUCUCUAUGCCUAAUGUGUCAUUCUUUGAGCAUAUGUUCUAUAUAUUGUUGCAUGCAUUUUAGGGUAAAGUUAUGAUGAAAUGUGAUGAUUGCAUGAUUGUGAGCACAACUUGCAUAAUGAGAUGGUUGAGAACCUAAUAAUGUCAAAACCCUAGAUGUAUGCAUGAGAGGAAAUGUGAGCACCCAAAGUGAGCAAAAGAACAGAGUGGCACAAUGACAUAGAUCGAGUGGCAUUUGAAAACGUAAAGUAAAGUGACACUAGAGUUAGUGUGAGCCAAAGAACCAAAGUGAUGUAAAGAUUGAUGAAAAUGACAAUGUGUAAAGUUAAAGUAAAGUGGGGCAAUAAGAACGAGAAAUGUAAAGAAUAAGAAUGCUAAAGGUGGCAAAAGUAAAAGAAAAGUAAAGAACAACGAUUGCAUGAGUUUGCAAUAUAAAGUGAUGUAAAGAACACUAGAGCUAGUGUAAAGUCAAGAUUGAACUUAUAAAUCCUUUGAGUUAAGGAUAUGAUCAUACUUGCUAUGAGUUCCGUGCUCGAGGGCGGUCGCUCCCCCUCGGGCGAUGCGCUCCGGAGUUAUGCAUCCGGGUUGGAGUAGACCCGUAAGGACGGUCCUAGCUGGUGAGUUCCUGCGAUGAUGGACUUAAUGUGAAGCAAGUCAAUGUGGCGAAACCCCC
Molecule: long non-coding RNA, 927 nt
Filed under: Ananas comosus (pineapple)
Lineage: Eukaryota; Viridiplantae; Streptophyta; Magnoliopsida; Poales; Bromeliaceae
Description: long non-coding RNA (ACOM_LNC022392)
Source: RNAcentral